CAGCAGUGUAUCAAGGCUGGAUGUAGCUGGAGCACAAAUGGCUGUUCCUGGUCGACUGCAGGAGUUAUGAGUGACAGUUUAGGCCAAAUAAUGGAGACCGAGACGAACUUUUCUAGGCCAGUGAUCUCCUCCAUCACCCCCAGUGUCGUGUCUUUCUACGGCAGAAACCAUGCAGUGUUGUCAGGUCAGAACCUCAGAGAUGUGACCA
Molecule: long non-coding RNA, 208 nt
Organism: Lates calcarifer (barramundi perch)
Lineage: Eukaryota; Metazoa; Chordata; Actinopteri; Centropomidae
Exons: 3
Source: RefSeq, a predicted model, not a curated record